UCCAGACUCCUACGGGAGGCAGCAGUGGGGGAUAUUGCACAAUGGGGGGAACCCUGAUGCAGCGACGCCGCGUGGGUGAAGGAGCGUUUCGGCGCGUAAAGCCCUAUCGGCAGGGAAGAAGGAGGACGGUACCUGACUAAGAAGCCCCGGCUAACUACGUGCCAGCAGCCGCGGUAAUACGUAGGGGGCAGGCGUUAUCCGGAUUUACUGGGUGUAAAGGGGGCGCAGACGGCAGCGCAAGCCAGGAGUGAAAGCCCGGGGCCCAACCCCGGGACUGCUCUUGGAACUGCGCGGCUGGAGUGCAGGAGGGGCAGGCGGAAUUCCUGGUGUAGCGGUGAAAUGCGUAGAUAUCAGGAGGAACACCGGUGGCGAAGGCGGCCUGCUGGACUGCGACUGACGUUGAGGCCCGAAAGCGUGGGGAGCAAACAGGAUUAGAUACCCCUGUA
Molecule: ribosomal RNA, 446 nt
Filed under: uncultured bacterium
Lineage: Bacteria
Description: partial 16S ribosomal RNA
Rfam family: Bacterial small subunit ribosomal RNA
Source: RNAcentral